RNAcentral lists this unclassified non-coding RNA (345 nucleotides) under soil metagenome. RNAcentral's name for it is "partial contains 5.8S ribosomal RNA, internal transcribed spacer 2, and large subunit ribosomal RNA". The stretch from base 1 to 120 matches the Rfam family "5.8S ribosomal RNA", at positions 35 to 154 of the family's 154-position model. The record is from RNAcentral.
GAUGAAGAACGUAGCGAAAUGCGAUAAGUAAUGCGAAUUGCAGAAUUCAGUGAAUCAUCGAGUCUUUGAACGCACAUUGCGCCCUCUGGUAUUCCGGAGGGCAUGCCUGUCCGAGCGUCAUUGCUGCCCUCAAGCACGGCUUGUGUGUUGGGCUCCGUCCCCCGAUCCCGGGGGACGGGCCCGAAAGGCAGCGGCGGCACCGCGUCCGGUCCUCGAGCGUAUGGGGCUUUGUCACCCGCUCUGUAGGCCCGGCCGGCGCUUGCCGAUCAACCAAAUUUUUAUCCAGGUUGACCUCGGAUCAGGUAGGGAUACCCGCUGAACUUAAGCAUAUCAAUAAGCGGAGGA